This 1156-nucleotide ribosomal RNA is filed under the name uncultured bacterium. Its description in RNAcentral is "bacterial SSU rRNA". It matches the Rfam family "Bacterial small subunit ribosomal RNA", at positions 337 to 1502 of the family's 1533-position model. The record is from RNAcentral.
UCCUACGGGAGGCAGCAGUAGGGAAUAUUGCGCAAUGGACGGAAGUCUGACGCAGCGACGCCGCGUGAGCGAUGAAGGCCUUCGGGUCGUAAAGCUCUGUCCUUGGGGAAGAAGGUCUUCGGACUUGACGGUACCCAAGAAGAAAGCCCCGGCUAACUACGUGCCAGCAGCCGCGGUAAUACGUAGGGGGCGAGCGUUGUCCGGAAUUACUGGGCGUAAAGGGUGCGUAGGCGGCCCUUUAAGUCAGAUGUGAAAGCCCGCAGCUUAACUGCGGAAUUGCAUUUGAAACUGGAGGGCUUGAGUGUCGGAGAGGGUAGUGGAAUUCCCAGUGUAGCGGUGAAAUGCGUAGAUAUUGGGAGGAACACCAGUGGCGAAGGCGACUGCCUGGACGAUAACUGACGCUGAGGCACGAAAGCUAGGGGAGCAAACAGGAUUAGAUACCCUGGUAGUCCUAGCCGUAAACGAUGGGUACUAGGUGUAGGUGGUUUCGAUACCAUCUGUGCCGUAGUUAACGCAUUAAGUACCCCGCCUGGGGAGUACGUGCGCAAGCAUGAAACUCAAAGGAAUUGACGGGGGCCCGCACAAGCGGUGGAGCAUGUGGUUUAAUUCGAAGCAACGCGAAGAACCUUACCAGGUCUUGACAUCACCUAGCAAGCCAUGGAAACAUGGCCCUCCUUCGGGACUGGGUGACAGGUGGUGCAUGGUUGUCGUCAGCUCGUGUCGUGAGAUGUUGGGUUAAGUCCCGCAACGAGCGCAACCCUUGCCUUUAGUUGCCAUCAUUAAGUUGGGGACUCUAAAGGGACUGCCGGUGACAAAUCGGAGGAAGGUGGGGAUGACGUCAAAUCAUCAUGCCCCUUAUGAUCUGGGCUACACACGUGCUACAAUGGGUGGUACAGAGGGAAGCGAAGCCGUGAGGCGGAGCGAAUCCCAGAAAGCCACUCUCAGUUCGGAUUGCAGGCUGCAACUCGCCUGCAUGAAGUCGGAAUCGCUAGUAAUCGCAGGUCAGCAUACUGCGGUGAAUACGUUCCCGGGCCUUGUACACACCGCCCGUCACACCACGAAAGUUCGCAACACCCGAAGCCGGUGGCCUAACCGCAAGGAGGGAGCCGUCGAAGGUGGGGCGGAUGAUUGGGGUGAAGUCGUAACAAGGUAGCCA